Molecule: transfer RNA, 67 nt
Filed under: Speleketor irwini
Lineage: Eukaryota; Metazoa; Arthropoda; Insecta; Psocodea; Prionoglarididae
Description: tRNA-Cys
Source: RNAcentral
GAUAUGGUAGUCUAUAGAAGAUUCUAAAUUGCAAAUUUAGAGAAUAUUUUUAAUUAAUACUUUAUUU